UUUUGCUAUACACAUAUAAGGAAAAUCAAUGACCCCCCGGGGCGGGGCCAAUUUUGACCCCAGGGCUUUUAUUUGAACAAACUUUGUAGACACUCACUAGAACAUGUUUCAUGCUUAAUAUCUUAGCUCUAGCUCUUUGAGUUCUUUAAAAGAAGAUUUUUAAGUUUUUACUAUGUGCAUAUAGGGAAAAUCAAUGACGCCCUGGGGCGGGGCCAAUUUUUAACCCAGGGCUUUUAUUUGAACAAACUUGGUAGACACUCACUAGAAGAUGUUUCAUGCCAAAUAUCUAAGCUCUAGCUCUUAGGGUUUUCUAAAAGAAGAUAUUUAAAGUUUUUUCUUUCGGUUGCCAUGGCAACCAGAGUUCUGCAUGGAAUUAAAUUCUUUGAACAAUUUUUAAAGGUGACCACCAAAGGAACAUUCCUGUGAAGUUUGGAUGAAAUUGGCUUAGUGGUUUAUGAGGAGAUGUCAUUUAAAGUAAAAGUUUACGGACGGACGACGGACGGACGGACAUCCAGCCGAAAUGGAAUAAGGGGCCAUUUCCUUUGUUACUUUCUAUUGUUUAAUAGAGGGCCAAUGGCCCCUUACUCUAUUGUUACGGAAUGAACUCUAUUGUUCUCUUUUGUUCUGUUUACAGUUAGAUGGCCCCCUAUCCCUAUUCGGUAGUGCGGACGGACGGACGCCGGACGAAAAGCGAUCACAAAAGCUCACCCUGUCACUUUGUGACAGGUGAGCUAAAAA
Ruditapes philippinarum (Manila clam) is the source of this 738-nucleotide long non-coding RNA. RefSeq lists it as uncharacterized. The record is from RefSeq and is a predicted model, not a curated record. Lineage: Eukaryota; Metazoa; Mollusca; Bivalvia; Venerida; Veneridae. The transcript is spliced from 2 exons.